Molecule: ribosomal RNA, 200 nt
Filed under: uncultured bacterium
Lineage: Bacteria
Description: partial 16S ribosomal RNA
Rfam family: Bacterial small subunit ribosomal RNA
Source: RNAcentral
AGAGUUUGAUCCUGGCUCAGGACGAACGCUGGCGGUGUGCUUCAUACAUGCAAGUCGAACGAUAAGGUCUCUUCGGAGAUACAUAAGUGGCGGACGGGUGAGUAACACGUAGGAAAUCUGCCUUAAGGUGGGGGAUAACAUCGGGAAACUGGUGCUAAUACCCCAUAUGUGCUAGGUUGAAAUACUUAGCAUGAAAGUUC